AUACGGAGGAUCCGAGCGUUAUCCGGAUUUAUUGGGUUUAAAGGGAGCGUAGGCGGACGCUUAAGUCAGUUGUGAAAGUUUGCGGCUCAACCGUAAAAUUGCAGUUGAUACUGGGUGUCUUGAGUACAGUAGAGGCAGGCGGAAUUCGCGGUGUAGCGGUGAAAUGCUUAGAUAUCACGAAGAACUCCGAUUGCGAAGGCAGCCUGCUGGACUGUAACUGACGCUGAUGCUCGAAAGUGUGGGUAUCAAACAGGAUUAGAUACCCUGGUAGUCCACACAGUAAACGAUGAAUACUCGCUGUUUGCGAUAUACAGUAAGCGGCCAAGCGAAAGCGUUAAGUAUUCCACCUGGGGAGUACGCCGGCAACGGUGAAACUCAAAUGAAUUGACGGGG
Molecule: ribosomal RNA, 393 nt
Filed under: uncultured bacterium
Lineage: Bacteria
Description: partial 16S ribosomal RNA
Rfam family: Bacterial small subunit ribosomal RNA
Source: RNAcentral